UCUCUUUAUGUUAAUUUUACCUUUCCCAUGCAUGCUUUUAAUAUUUGCAACUGUUCUAUCUUAGUUUUCUAUUUAAAUAAGUUUUUGUAUUCAGAAGUUCAAGUUUUGAAUAUUAUUGAAAGCCCUUGAGUUUGAAUUAUAUUGUUUGUGUUCUUCUUCUUUCCAUUAUCCUACAUCACUAAGACGAGAAGUCCCACAACCUGCAAGAGAUUGAAAAAGAAGGUAUAUGAAGUAAUAAGUGUUGAGUUUGAUGAGUAUCAUAGACUAGUCGGCCAGUUUAUGAAGAACUUCAAGUCUUGCAUUGACACUUCGGUUCGGUUGCAUUUGGAUAUUAAUAUCAGUGAUUGACAUGAAGUUGACAAAGGAUUGAAGGAUACAAUUUGGGAUUAUGUUAAGCUAGAAAGUGUUCAACAUACAUGAUCAAUUGAGAGAAACAAUAUUAAAGGUUGUUGGGCAGCGGUGGAAGGUUUUUAAAACCAGAAUAGUGCACGAGUACAUUAACAAGAAGCACCCAAAAUAUGAAUCUCUAUAUGAGUUUUAUGAUUUCUUGACUGAAGCAUAAUGGAAUAUUUUUGAAGUAAAUCUCAUGAUUGAGGAGUUCAAGAAAAUUCCAAGUGCUAUCAUUGAUCACAAUUGCCUUGUGAAUUGUCUUGACUAUUUGGAAGGGCUUGAGAAGCUAAUUAUUUUAAUUUCUAUUUGCUGCACUGUAACCCUUAAAAUUGGUCUAUGUCUAUGUUUCAUUUCCUAUUGGAGAAGUUGAGAUUGAGUCAUUUGAGUGGGCUUAAAACUUGUAAUUGAUAUUGAUUUGCAAGGCUAAGUAUAAUUCUUAACACUUCAUGAUAUUGAUUACAUUCAUUUCAUGCAUUCUAUAAGGCAUCAAAUCCAUGAUUUUACAGUGAUCCUGGUGUCAAAGAGAAGGCUUUCAAAUCUUGUAGUCAGUCUUCAAGUAAUUGUUUUUACCAUUUUAUUUUAUGAUGCCAAAUGCUCUAGAUGACAAAUGCAUUGUAUUCUUGAAAUUGCUUGCAGAAAAAUCAUAUUCUUUAAAGAAGUUGCAGAACAGUUAUGCCUUUCCCCAACAGAUCAGAGAAUGCAAAGUUCUAUAACAGAGAAAUUAUAUUGGACUGAUGUUCUUCAACUUGGAGUACAUGGAGGCUAAGAAUUUGGGAGCCAUUACAAUUUAUAUACGGUAAAUCCUCCAACUCUCCAAGAAGGGAAAAGUGGAAUUUGCAAACAGUAUCUUGGGUGAGUCCAACUCAAGGAGAAUUCUGUAGACUAAGAUUCUUCGUUCUUGAAGCUAAUAAACUCAAGCAUUGGGCAGGUGAUGGUGAUUUCUCAAGUGAUUAGCCUUGAGAUGUUAUUGUUUGGAAGAGUUCCCUCUGUGUUUAACAGAAAAUUUGACCCUAUUGUCAAUUAAGUUGGAUCAGUGUAACACUUCUGUGGUUGCUUUUGCGAAGCAUAUUCGAGACUGGCAAGUUGAAAGGGGAAAUACCAUUUUUGAGCGAAGGGCUUUAGAUCCUGUAGUAAUUCUUCAGUCUUCUUGCUUGCAGGCACUCACUGGUUGGUUUCCAUCUGAUGAGAAUGCGUAUCCCAAAGCUAGCCAUGUGGGCUUUGUUCUUUGUUCUUGUCUUAGUAGAAGAUGGGAAAUGCUUAUGAACUUGAAGUAGUGAUGUUUCUAAGCUGAUUGAUUACUUGACAAUUAAGAUCAACAACCACUUUAAAUCUGCACCUAUCUUAGCUUGUAGAAAAAUUUCAAACUGGGAAGCUGGUAGUGCUCAAGCUAUCGGAGAUAUUGGUAUGUCAAUUAAAUACCGUUUUCAAAAUUUUUCAAUCUGGGAAGCUGCUAGUGAUCAAGUAUUAAAGAUCUAGAGGAAAGAAGAAUUGCUUCAUUAUUUCCUUCUAAUUGAAGGAUGUAUUUCGUUUCAACUAAAACUUUAAAUUCAUAGUGAGA
Long non-coding RNA from Ipomoea nil (Japanese morning glory), 1948 nucleotides. RefSeq lists it as uncharacterized. The transcript has 7 exons. The record is from RefSeq and is a predicted model, not a curated record. Lineage: Eukaryota; Viridiplantae; Streptophyta; Magnoliopsida; Solanales; Convolvulaceae.